Molecule: ribosomal RNA, 616 nt
Filed under: uncultured bacterium
Lineage: Bacteria
Description: bacterial SSU rRNA
Rfam family: Bacterial small subunit ribosomal RNA
Source: RNAcentral
CCUACGGGAGGCAGCAGUGGGGAAUUUUGGACAAUGGGCGAAAGCCUGAUCCAGCCAUUCCGCGUGCAGGAUGAAGGCCCUCGGGUUGUAAACUGCUUUUGUACAGAACGAAAAGGUUUCUACUAAUACUAGGAGCUCAUGACGGUACUGUAAGAAUAAGCACCGGCUAACUACGUGCCAGCAGCCGCGGUAAUACGUAGGGUGCAAGCGUUAAUCGGAAUUACUGGGCGUAAAGCGUGCGCAGGCGGUUAUAUAAGUCAGAUGUGAAAUCCCCGGGCUCAACCUGGGAACUGCAUUUGAGACUGUAUAGCUAGAGUACGGUAGAGGGGGAUGGAAUUCCGCGUGUAGCAGUGAAAUGCGUAGAUAUGCGGAGGAACACCGAUGGCGAAGGCAAUCCCCUGGACCUGUACUGACGCUCAUGCACGAAAGCGUGGGGAGCAAACAGGAUUAGAUACCCUGGUAGUCCACGCCCUAAACGAUUUGCAACUGGUUGUUGGGUCUUAACUGACUCAGUAACGAAGCUAACGCGUGAAGUUGACCGCCUGGGGAUACGGCCGCAAGGUUGAAACUCAAAGGAUUGACGGCNGAGAGNGCGAGACGACGACGAGGGAGGAGG